GAUUCAAACUGAUGAUCUAUAAUCCGGAAAAAUUGAUAAUCCGGAAUCGCCGAAGUCCUGACGAGUCCGGAUUAACGACUUUUGACUGUAUUAUAUUUUUUAAUUUUUUGCAGAUAGACAUCCUGAUGCUGUUAACUUCUGGAUGGGUGAUAAAAGAGCUGUUACAUCAUUACAUAAGGACCAUUAUGAAAAUAUUUAUUGUGUUGUGAAAGGUAAAAAAGAAUUCAUACUUCAUCCUCCUACUGAUGCAGCAUGGAUUCCUUAUGAGACAUAUAAAGUAGGUGCCUACAGAUUUGAAAAUGAAAGAUGCACUAUAAGGGAUAUGAAUCAGCAGGUUAAAUGGAUACCAGUGGAUCCACUUAAACCAGAUUAUGGGAAAUAUCCAUUGUAUAAGAAAGUCAAAACUUUUCACUUUGUUGUAGAAGAAGGCGACGCUUUAUAUUUACCUUCUUUGUGGUUUCAUCAUGUUAGGCAAUCUCAUUCAUGUAUUGCAGUUAAUUACUGGUAUGACAUGGACUUUGAUGUAAAAUAUUGCUACUUUAAAUUUCUCGAGAAAAUUGGAGAAUUAUGUAAUAAAUCCAAAGACUAUACUGACUAAUUUUUGACAUUAUUGGGCAAUUGCUAUGGAGCAUCAUCAGAAUUGGACGUACAGUACGCCUUCCAGUAACUUCCCAAACAGUGGUAGACAUGGCAAGCAAUUAUAUUGAGGGGAUGUUUAAAUGGAUGCCUAAGGUUUUGUAUGCAGUAGAAAACUGGCACCUGUGUCCUGUUACUAGUAGACGGUGCUUAAUUUCCCACGCUUCUGGAUAGACCGUUAUUCAAGAUGGUGGACAACAGUGUGAACAUCUAUGUGGAACAGCGUGUUGUGAUGAAGUUUCUAGUAAACAGCAUAAAACCUGCUGUACGGUGAUGAGACAAUCAGUCGCACUAAGACAUUUUGAGUGGUGUAAGGGUUUCAAAAGAUGGUCGUAUCUCUACUACUGACAAUCUCGGUCGUGGUGAAUCACAGCCCAUGGUAGUCAUUCCUGAUAAUAGCGCAUGGAGCAGCUGAUCCUGGGUAAUCAUUGUAUAACCUAUCGUGAAAUCGCUAGGGUGUGUAAUCUGUUGUUAGGAACAGUGAACACAAUAAUUCAUGACCAUUUGUUGUUCCGAAAAAGAGUGAUUGGUGGGUUCCAAAGCGGUAGUUUGCUUUUGACAGACACAGAAGAGUUGAAGUCUGUAGAGAACUGAAAAAACGCUAUGAAAGGGAAGGCCAGGAAUUUCUGAAUCGCAUCAUGAACAUGUGACGAAACAUGAGUUCACCAUUUCACACCAGAAUCCAAAACAGCAUCGAUGCAGUGGAAGCAUACAGACUCACCACCUCCCCAAAAAUUUCAAACAGUUGUGUCUGCUGGUAAAGUGAUGGCAAGUGUAUUCUGGGAUAAACAGGGAAUUAUUCACGUUGAGAUUUUACCCCAUGGUGUCACUAUCAACAGUGAGUAUUACUGCAGUGUUUUGUGUGAUGUGCACAAGAGUUUACGGAAAAAACGCCCGGGUUUGAUCCCAAAGUUUGUUCUCUUUUUUCAAGACAAUGCACGACUGCAUACUGCUCAACGCACAUUCCAAACAAUCCAGGAACUCAGCUGGGAGGGGUAGGUAGCUGCUGCACAAUGAUUUGUUUUUCUAGAACUUUCUCUCAUAUGAAAAUGUGCUUGAUAUCGAUGUGUUUUGUCCAUCGAUGAAGUUCAUGAUUUUCUCAAAGUCUUAAUGCAGCGGUGUUACCUACUUGAAUUACUGGAACUUCGUGUAACUUGGUAAUGUCACUAAAUAAUCGCUUUAACCAAACUACUUCUCUAGAACGUUCACUAGCUGCAAUUAUCUCUGCUUCAGGUGUUGAAGUUGCAACAACUGACUGUCUUUGGCUAAUCCAUCAUAUAGCUCCGCCACCAUAUAAUAUCACCACUCCACUUGUAGAUUUCCAUGUUAUUUGACAUCCUCCGAAAUUUGCGUCACUAAUAGCACCCCAAUACUCCUGCUCUGGUGGUGUUACUACAUACAUGGCAUAUUCUUUGACCCUUUUCUUCUCACAGCAGUGGACGAAAAAAAAAAGCAUCUAAAAAAUGUCUCACGAUGAAAUUACUGGUGGCUAAUCGGCCGAGCAAUUCUCCACUCUUCAUCUACCAGAUCAAACUGGAGUAAGGGUUCUGUGUUUUGACAAAAUUUGUUGUAUAAUGUUUCUAAUAAAUUAUUUCAAUGACAA
Stegodyphus dumicola is the source of this 2239-nucleotide unclassified non-coding RNA. The record is from RefSeq and is a predicted model, not a curated record. Lineage: Eukaryota; Metazoa; Arthropoda; Arachnida; Araneae; Eresidae.